Molecule: ribosomal RNA, 801 nt
Filed under: uncultured bacterium
Lineage: Bacteria
Description: bacterial SSU rRNA
Rfam family: Bacterial small subunit ribosomal RNA
Source: RNAcentral
GACGAACGCUGGCGGCGUGCUUAACACAUGCAAGUCGAACGAGAGGACGAGAGGAGCUUGCUCCUUUCCGAAUCGAGUGGCAAACGGGUGAGUAACACGUAAACAACCUGCCUUCAGGAUGGGGACAACAGACGGAAACGACUGCUAAUACCGAAUACCUUCCAAGAGCCGCAUGACACUUGGAAGAAAGGGUGGCCUCUACUUGUAAGCUAUCGCCUGGAGAGGGGUUUGCGUCUGAUUAGGCAGUUGGUGAGGUAACGGCUCACCAAACCGACGAUCAGUAGCCGGUCUGAGAGGAUGAACGGCCACACUGGAACUGAGACACGGUCCAGACUCCUACGGGAGGCAGCAGUGGGGAAUCUUCCGCAAUGGGCGAAAGCCUGACGGAGCAACGCCGCGUGAGUGAUGACGGCCUUCGGGUUGUAAAGCUCUGUGAUCGGGGACGAAUGAGCAGCGUGCCAAUACCACGCUGAAAUGACGGUACCCGAAAAGCAAGCCACGGCUAACUACGUGCCAGCAGCCGCGGUAAUACGUAGGUGGCAAGCGUUGUCCGGAAUUAUUGGGCGUAAAGCGCGCGCAGGCGGUUUGUUAAGUCCAUCUUAAAAGUGCGGGGCUUAACCCCGUGAGGGGAUGGAAACUGACAGACUGGAGUAUCGGAGAGGAAAGCGGAAUUCCUAGUGUAGCGGUGAAAUGCGUAGAGAUUAGGAAGAACACCGGUGGCGAAGGCGGCUUUCUGGACGACAACUGACGCUGAGGCGCGAAAGCGUGGGGAGCAAACAGGAUUAGAUACCCUGGUAGUCC